GCGGGUGUGCGGAAUUGGCAGACGCACUAGAUUUAGGAUCUAGCGCCUUACGGCGUGGGGGUUCAAGUCCCUUCACCCGCA
RNAcentral lists this transfer RNA (81 nucleotides) under Enterococcus faecalis. RNAcentral's name for it is "tRNA-Leu". It matches the Rfam family "tRNA". Rfam says of the family: Transfer RNA (tRNA) molecules are approximately 80 nucleotides in length. Their secondary structure includes four short double-helical elements and three loops (D, anti-codon, and T loops). Further hydrogen bonds mediate the characteristic L-shaped molecular structure. tRNAs have two regions of fundamental functional importance: the anti-codon, which is responsible for specific mRNA codon recognition, and the 3' end, to which the tRNAs corresponding amino acid is attached (by aminoacyl-tRNA synthetases). tRNAs cope with the degeneracy of the genetic code in two manners: having more than one tRNA (with a specific anti-codon) for a particular amino acid; and 'wobble' base-pairing, i.e. permitting non-standard base-pairing at the 3rd anti-codon position. The record is from RNAcentral. Lineage: Bacteria; Bacillati; Bacillota; Bacilli; Lactobacillales; Enterococcaceae.